GAUGAACGCUGGCGGCGUGCCUAAUACAUGCAAGUCGAGCGAACAGACGAGGAGCUUGCUCCUCUGACGUUAGCGGCGGACGGGUGAGUAACACGUGGAUAACCUACCUAUAAGACUGGGAUAACUUCGGGAAACCGGAGCUAAUACCGGAUAAUAUAUUGAACCGCAUGGUUCAAUAGUGAAAGACGGUUUUGCUGUCACUUAUAGAUGGAUCCGCGCCGCAUUAGCUAGUUGGUAAGGUAACGGCUUACCAAGGCAACGAUGCGUAGCCGACCUGAGAGACGGGGCGUCGACACGGGAGCGGGACCGGGGACAAGAGCACGACGAGACGGAACAGGAGGCAAGGGGCGGCAAUGGGCGGAAGUCUUACAGAACGGCAGCACGGCAGAGACAGAAAUGUCCGGAUCGGAAAACUCGCUGACUAGGUAAAAACCAAUGUCUAAGGUACUAUACACGGCGUGACGGUAACGAAUCAGAAAGCCACGGCUAACUACGUG
This 497-nucleotide ribosomal RNA is filed under the name uncultured bacterium. RNAcentral describes it as "partial 16S ribosomal RNA". It matches the Rfam family "Bacterial small subunit ribosomal RNA", at positions 28 to 507 of the family's 1533-position model. The record is from RNAcentral.